Molecule: long non-coding RNA, 235 nt
Organism: Mauremys mutica (yellowpond turtle)
Lineage: Eukaryota; Metazoa; Chordata; Testudines; Geoemydidae
Exons: 4
Source: RefSeq, a predicted model, not a curated record
GAUCCAGACACAAGACCCCCGACUCAUCGGCUGGCUUAGCCUUGGUGCACCACAGCGCAACGCGCUCCCUCGCAUGUGCCGAAGUAGGCACUCAGACCCACGCUAUGGCACUGUUGGCGGGAGCAAUCCGUCAAGAUUGCUGCGGUCUUACAACACAUUCGAACCCACAAGCCGACCCUUUUUAUCUAGAGCCCAGCGCCAUUAUCGACAGACCGAGCCCCUUCCAGCGCCGAAG